UGACCUGCCUGGACUCCAUCAUCACAAUGUCAAAAUUCUGUCACAAUGUCAAAAUUCUGUCACAGCGUCAAAAUUCUGUCACAGUGUCAAAAUUCCGCUGAGUUUCACGCCAAGGGAGGGGAAGGAGAAUAUUCAUCCUCUUUUCCCAUUUGGUGUCACAUGCAAUUAUAUGGGGCCCAAAGCAGAUCAGCUUACAUCCAGGCAUAAAACAAAAAUUGCAUUGCCUGCCUAUGGAUACAAAGAGGUUCGGCUGAUGGGAGCAAGAGUUGGGAAGGCUUGGCUUACAGAGCAUUGGCUUAUCCAAGCAGAACGUUCUCCGUUCCAAUAAUAGAAGCCAGGAGGAGUAAGAAACUGAUCAUUACAAAGCACCUCUUAUAUGGAAGGCAUCAAUGAGAACCAAAAUAAAAACUACAAUCCCUCACUCAAGAAGUUUAAAAUGAAGUGAAUGGACAAUUGUGAGAAGAAAUGCUAUGGAUCUUCCAAAGUCGUAUAUUCGAUAGUGAAUAUUGUAUGUUUAAAGUAACCUUGCAAAAUGUGUCAUGUCAAAUGUAAUAAAUUGUAUGUUCUGACGAAGGAAUGGAA
Gorilla gorilla gorilla (western lowland gorilla) is the source of this 582-nucleotide long non-coding RNA. RefSeq lists it as uncharacterized. The transcript has 3 exons. NCBI's taxonomy places the organism in Eukaryota, Metazoa, Chordata, Mammalia, Primates, Hominidae. The record is from RefSeq and is a predicted model, not a curated record.